GAUGAACGCUAGCGGCAGGCCUAACACAUGCAAGUCGAGCGGGAAGCCCUUUCGGGGGCAGAAACCGCGGCACGGGUGCGUAACACGUAUGCAACCUUCCCUUCACAGGGGGUUAGCCCGAACAAAAUGGGAUUAAUACCCCAAAAUAAUAUGGGAUGGCAUCAUUUGAUAAUUAAAACUGCGUUGGUGCAAGAGGGGCAUGCGUCCUAUUAGCUAGUUGGGGUGGUACCGGCACCCCAAGGCUACGAUAGGUAGGGGUCCUGAGAGGGAGAUGCCCCAGACUGGGACUGAGCCAGGGACCAGACUCCUACGGGACGCAGCCGUAAGGAAUACUGGUCAAGGGUCGGAAGACUGAACCAGCCAUGCCGCGUGCAGGAAGAAUGCGUUAGGGAUUGUAAACUGCUUUUAUAUGGGAAGUAUAAGGUGUACGUGUGCAUUGAUGACGGUACCAGAUGAAUAAGCAUCGGCUAACUCCGUG
Molecule: ribosomal RNA, 478 nt
Filed under: uncultured bacterium
Lineage: Bacteria
Description: partial 16S ribosomal RNA
Rfam family: Bacterial small subunit ribosomal RNA
Source: RNAcentral